GUGGGGAAUCUUGCGCAAUGGGCGAAAGCCUGACGCAGCCAUGCCGCGUGAAUGAUGAAGGUCUUAGGAUUGUAAAAUUCUUUCACCGGGGACGAUAAUGACGGUACCCGGAGAAGAAGCCCCGGCUAACUUCGUGCCAGCAGCCGCGGUAAUACGAAGGGUGCGAGCGUUGUCCGGAUUUAUUGGGUUUAAAGGGUGCGUAGGCUGGAAGGUCAGUCAGCGGUGAAAAGCUGUCGCUUAACGAUAGUCUUGCCGCAGAUACUUCCUUUCUUGGAUGAGGAGGAGGCCACUGGAACGGAUGGUGUAGCGGUGAAAUGCAUAGAUAUCAUCCAGAACACCGAUUGCGAAGGCAGGUGGCUGUACCUUAAUCGACGCUGAUGCACGAAAGCAUGGGGAGCAAACAGGAUUAGAUACCCCGGUAGUCC
Molecule: ribosomal RNA, 425 nt
Filed under: uncultured bacterium
Lineage: Bacteria
Description: partial 16S ribosomal RNA
Rfam family: Bacterial small subunit ribosomal RNA
Source: RNAcentral